Long non-coding RNA from Papilio xuthus (Asian swallowtail), 666 nucleotides. RefSeq lists it as uncharacterized. The record is from RefSeq and is a predicted model, not a curated record. The transcript is spliced from 3 exons. Lineage: Eukaryota; Metazoa; Arthropoda; Insecta; Lepidoptera; Papilionidae.
UGAUUUCUACUUCUAACAAAUUCGAGUUUUGAGUUUGAAUUUGAAUUGGUUUUGGAGUUUUAGAUAAAAAUCAAUUUGUAAUGCAUAGCCAACAUAAUAUAACUUUAGAAGAAGAUAGCGGUAAGGAUAACUGAUUUGUACUAAAAAAUCAAUUCUGAUGAUACAAAUGAUUCCAAAAGACUAAGAAGUAAAUGCACAAUAAUUGAACAGCAAGAAAUUACUCGCCAGUCCAGUCGGGAUGACUGGUUCAAGAUGGACUUAUCCUGAGUAGAUUAGUGAAAAUAUUCAAGAAUGGAUCCAUGAAUGUGGAAUAGCAAAGAGUGUAGUGCCAGUACCACAUCAAAGGGUAAAUAAACCGCUGGGUUAGGGUGUAAGUUGUGGCGUUGGUGGCCUCAACAUAUACUUUCGUAAACCAAGAAGCGCAUAAGUAAUAUAGGGACCAUUGAUAUGUCAUUACGUACCGUAUGAUAUGUGUACGGCCCAAUUAAUGUACUUCAGCAGUCACAUCGAUAAGUAAUUUGCAGCGCUGUAUCAUUUACUCGCUCUGACCGCAAAUGUAAACAUUUAGGUCGAACUUUUUGGAACAGUGCAUCGCGUCACGGCCCCGGAAUAAAUAACCUAGUUGAGUUAAUUUAAAAGUAAAGAAAUUCCUUUUAUUAUUUAAAC